RNAcentral lists this ribosomal RNA (520 nucleotides) under uncultured Glomus. Its description in RNAcentral is "SSU rRNA". It matches the Rfam family "Eukaryotic small subunit ribosomal RNA", at positions 569 to 1091 of the family's 1831-position model. Lineage: Eukaryota; Fungi; Glomeromycota; Glomeromycetes; Glomerales; Glomeraceae. The record is from RNAcentral.
AGCAGCCGCGGUAAUUCCAGCUCCAAUAGCGUAUAUUAAAGUUGUUGCAGUUAAAAAGCUCGUAGUUGAAUUUCGGGAUCAAUUUAUCGGUCGUGCCUAUGGUAUGAACUGGUACAAUUGGUUUCUCCCUUCUGACGAAGCAUGAUGUCAUUAAUUUGGUGUCGUGGGGAAUCAGGACUGUUACUUUGAAAAAAUUAGAGUGUUUAAAGCGGGCUUAGGCUUGAAUACAUUAGCAUGGAAUAAUGAAAUAGGACGUUUGAUCCUAUUUUGUUGGUUUCUAGGAUCGACGUAAUGAUUAAUAGGGAUAGUUGGGGGCAUUAGUAUUCAACUGUCAGAGGUGAAAUUCUUGGAUUUAUUGAAGACUAACUACUGCGAAAGCAUUUGCCAAGGAUGUUUUCAUUAAUCAAGAACGAAAGUUAGGGGAUCGAAGACGAUCAGAUACCGUCGUAGUCUUAACCAUAAACUAUGCCGACUAGGGAUCGGAUGAUGUUAAUUUUUAAUGACUCAUUCGGCGCCUUAC